UCGAGAAUCUUCCGCAAUGGACGAAAGUCUGACGGAGCGACGCCGCGUGAUUGAUGAAGCUUUUCGGAGUGUAAAGAUCUUUUAUGAGGGAAGAAGUUUAUUGACGGUACCUCAUGAAUAAGGGGCUCCUAAUCUCGUGCCAGCAGGAGCGGUAAUACGAGAGCCCCGAGCGUUAUCCGGAAUUAUUGGGCGUAAAGGGUGCGUAGGUGGCAGUGUUAGUCGUUUGUUAAAUCCUUAGGCUUAACCUAAGAAUCGCGAACGAAACGGCACAGCUAGAGAGUGUGAGGGGUAUAGGGAACUAAUAGUGUAGGGGUGAAAUCCGUUGAUAUUAUUGGGAACACCAAAAGCGAAGGCACUAUACUGGCACAUAUCUGACACUCAAGCACGAAAGCGUGGGUAGCGAAUGGG
RNAcentral lists this ribosomal RNA (408 nucleotides) under uncultured bacterium. RNAcentral's name for it is "bacterial SSU rRNA". It matches the Rfam family "Bacterial small subunit ribosomal RNA", at positions 355 to 776 of the family's 1533-position model. The record is from RNAcentral.